UGCUGGUUACAUUUUUGGCGUCUAGCCA
Molecule: small RNA, 28 nt
Filed under: Bombyx mori (domestic silkworm)
Lineage: Eukaryota; Metazoa; Arthropoda; Insecta; Lepidoptera; Bombycidae
Description: ovarian small RNA-8629
Source: RNAcentral